RNAcentral lists this microRNA (23 nucleotides) under Cavia porcellus (domestic guinea pig). RNAcentral's name for it is "cpo-miR-146b-5p". Its record names the gene cpo-miR-146b-5p. Lineage: Eukaryota; Metazoa; Chordata; Mammalia; Rodentia; Caviidae. The record is from miRBase by way of RNAcentral.
UAAGAACUGAAUUCUGUAGGCUG